UACGGAGGGUGCAAGCGUUAUCCGGAUUUACUGGGUUAAAGGGUGCGUAGGUGGACUAGUAAGUCAGUGGUGAAAUCUCCGGGCUUAACCCGGAAACUGCCAUUGAUACUAUUGGUCUUGAAUACUUUGGAGGUAAGCGGAAUAUGUCAUGUAGCGGUGAAAUGCUUAGAUAUGACAUAGAACACCAAUGCGAAAGGCAGCUUCUUACACAGUG
Molecule: ribosomal RNA, 214 nt
Filed under: uncultured bacterium
Lineage: Bacteria
Description: partial 16S ribosomal RNA
Rfam family: Bacterial small subunit ribosomal RNA
Source: RNAcentral